GACGAACGCUGGCGGCGUGCUUAACACAUGCAAGUCGAACGGAAAGGCCCUGCUUUUGUGGGGUGCUCGAGUGGCGAACGGGUGAGUAACACGUGAGUAACCUGCCCUUGACUUUGGGAUAACUUCUGGAAACUGGGGCUAGUACCUGAUAGGAUCUCCUGCUGCAUGGUGUGGGUUGGAAAGUUUCGGCGGUUGGGGCUGGACUCGCGGCUUAUCAGCUUGUUGGUGGGGUAGUGGCUUACCAAGGCCUUGACGGGUAGCCGGCCUGAGAGGGUGACCGGCCACAUUGGGACUGAGAUACGGCCCAGACUCCUACGGGAGGCAGCAGUGGGGAAUAUUGCACAAUGGGCGGAAGCCUGAUGCAGCAACGCCGCGUGCGGGAUGACGGCCUUCGGGUUGUAAACCGCUUUCGCCUGUGACGAAGCGUGAGUGACGGUAAUGGGUAAAGAAGCACCGGCUAACUACGUG
This 468-nucleotide ribosomal RNA is filed under the name uncultured bacterium. Its description in RNAcentral is "partial 16S ribosomal RNA". It matches the Rfam family "Bacterial small subunit ribosomal RNA", at positions 28 to 507 of the family's 1533-position model. The record is from RNAcentral.